CAAUAGCGUAUAUUAAAGUUGUUGCAGUUAAAAAGCUCGUAGUUGGAUUUCUGGUUGGAGCGACCGGUCGGGCAUUGAUUUGUCUGCACUGGAGUCGGUUCCGUCCAUCCUCCUGGAAAAUGCGUAUGGCAUUAAGUUGUCGUGCGUAUGAUCCAGGUCUUUUACUGUGAAAAAAUUAGAGUGUUUAAAGCAGGCCUUCGCCUUGAAUACAUUAGCAUGGAAUAAUAAGAUAGGACUUGGGUCUAUUUUGUUGGUUUGCAGACCGAAGUAAUGAUUAAUAGGGAUAGUUGGGGGUAUUUAUAUUCCGAUGUCAGAGGUGAAAUUCUUAGAUUUUCGGAAGAUAAACUUAUGCGAAAGCAUUUACCAAGGAUGUUUUCAUUAA
This 382-nucleotide ribosomal RNA is filed under the name uncultured eukaryote. Its description in RNAcentral is "partial 18S ribosomal RNA". It matches the Rfam family "Eukaryotic small subunit ribosomal RNA", at positions 592 to 976 of the family's 1831-position model. The record is from RNAcentral.